GCCCCUAUCGUCUAGUGGUCCAGGACGCCGCCCUCUCACGGCGGUAACGCGGGUUCAAAUCCCGCUGGGGGUA
This 73-nucleotide transfer RNA is filed under the name Actinobaculum sp. oral taxon 183 str. F0552. It matches the Rfam family "tRNA". Rfam says of the family: Transfer RNA (tRNA) molecules are approximately 80 nucleotides in length. Their secondary structure includes four short double-helical elements and three loops (D, anti-codon, and T loops). Further hydrogen bonds mediate the characteristic L-shaped molecular structure. tRNAs have two regions of fundamental functional importance: the anti-codon, which is responsible for specific mRNA codon recognition, and the 3' end, to which the tRNAs corresponding amino acid is attached (by aminoacyl-tRNA synthetases). tRNAs cope with the degeneracy of the genetic code in two manners: having more than one tRNA (with a specific anti-codon) for a particular amino acid; and 'wobble' base-pairing, i.e. permitting non-standard base-pairing at the 3rd anti-codon position. The record is from Rfam by way of RNAcentral. Lineage: Bacteria; Bacillati; Actinomycetota; Actinomycetes; Actinomycetales; Actinomycetaceae.